AACGAACGCUGGCGGCAUGCCUAACACAUGCAAGUCGAACGAGACCUUCGGGUCUAGUGGCGCACGGGUGCGUAACGCGUGGGAACCCGCCCUUAGGUUCGGAAUAACUCCCCGAAAGGGGUGCUAAUACCGGAUAAUGUCUUCGGACCAAAGAUUUAUCGCCUUUGGAUGGGCCCGCGUUGGAUUAGCUAGUUGGUAGGGUAAAAGCCUACCAAGGCGACGAUCCAUAGCUGGUCUGAGAGGAUGAUCAGCCACACUGGGACUGAGACACGGCCCAGACUCCUACGGGAGGCAGCAGUGGGGAAUAUUGGACAAUGGGCGAAAGCCUGAUACAGCAAUGCCGCGUGAGUGAUGAAGGCCUUAGGGUUGUAAAGCUCUUUUACCCGGGAUGAUAAUGACAGUACCGGGAGAAUAAGCUCCGGCUAACUCCGUG
RNAcentral lists this ribosomal RNA (433 nucleotides) under uncultured bacterium. Its description in RNAcentral is "partial 16S ribosomal RNA". It matches the Rfam family "Bacterial small subunit ribosomal RNA", at positions 29 to 507 of the family's 1533-position model. The record is from RNAcentral.